GUGUGCUUCACACAUGCAAGUCGAACGGGGUAGCAAUACCUAGUGGCGGACGGGUGAGUAACGCGUGGGAAUCUGCCUUGAAAUGGGGGAUAGCAAGCCGAAAGGCUUAUUAAUACCGCAUAUGAUUACAUCAAGACAUUUUUGUAAUUGAAAGGAGCAAUCCGUUUCAAGAUGAGCCCGCGUCCGAUUAGCUAGUUGGUAAGGUAACGGCUUACCAAGGCGACGAUCGGUAGGUGGUCUGAGAGGAUGAUCACCCACAAUGGGACUGAGACACGGCCCAUACUCCUACGGGAGGCAGCAGUGGGGAAUUUUGUGCAAUGGGCGAAAGCCUGACACAGCGACACCGCGCGAACGAAGAAGCUCUCUGGAGUGUAAAGUUCUGUCGGCUGGAACGAAAACAAUGACGGUACCAGCAAAGGAAGCAUCGGCUAACUACGUGCCAGCAGCCGCGGUAAGACGUAGGAUGCAAGCGUUGUCCGGAUUUAUUGGGCGUAAAGAGUUCGUAGGCGGUUUACUAAGUCUGAUGUUAAAGAUCGGGGCUCAACCCUGAGAGUGCAUUGGAUACCGGUAGGCUUGAGUGUGGUAGAGGCUAGUGGAAUUCCCAGUGUAGCGGUGAAAUGCGUAGAUAUUGGGAAGAACACCAGUGGCGUAGGCGACUAGCUGGGCCAUAACUGACGCUGAGGAACGAAAGCCAGGGGAGCGAAUGGGAUUAGAUACCCCAGUAGUCCUGGCCGUAAACGAUGGAUACUAGGCGUAGUGGGUAUCGACCCCUACUGUGCCGCAGCUAACGCGAUAAGUAUCCCGCCUGAGUAGUACGGCCGCCAGGKUUG
Molecule: ribosomal RNA, 830 nt
Filed under: uncultured bacterium
Lineage: Bacteria
Description: bacterial SSU rRNA
Rfam family: Bacterial small subunit ribosomal RNA
Source: RNAcentral